RNAcentral lists this ribosomal RNA (258 nucleotides) under uncultured bacterium. RNAcentral's name for it is "partial small subunit ribosomal RNA". It matches the Rfam family "Bacterial small subunit ribosomal RNA", at positions 27 to 285 of the family's 1533-position model. The record is from RNAcentral.
GGGACGAACGCUGGCGGCGUGCUUAACACAUGCAAGUCGAACGGUGAACCAGGGCUUGCCCUGGGAAUCAGUGGCGAACGGGUGAGUAACACGUGACCAACCUGCCCUUGGCUCUGGGAUAACCCCGGGAAACCGGAGCUAAUACCGGAUACGAGUCCGUAUGGCAUCACACGGACUGGAAAGUUUUUCGGCCAAGGAUGGGGUCGCGGCCUAUCAGCUCGUUGGUGGGGUAAUGGCCUACCAAGGCGACGACGGGUA